RNAcentral lists this ribosomal RNA (497 nucleotides) under uncultured bacterium. Its description in RNAcentral is "partial 16S ribosomal RNA". It matches the Rfam family "Bacterial small subunit ribosomal RNA", at positions 28 to 507 of the family's 1533-position model. The record is from RNAcentral.
GAUGAACGCUGGCGGCGUGCCUAAUACAUGCAAGUCGAGCGAACGGACGUGAAUCUUGCUUUUCUGAUGUUAGCGGCGGACGGGUGAGUCACACGUGGAUAACCUACGUAUAUGAGUUGGAUUACUUCGGGAAACCGGAGCUAAUACCGGAUGAUACUUUGACCUGCAUGGGUCUAAAGUGAAAGACGGGCUUGCUGUCACUUCUCGAUGGAUCCGCGCUGCGUUAGUUAGUUGGUUUGGUAACGGCUUACCAAGUCAACGAUGCAUAGCCGACCUGAGAGGGGGAACGGCCACACGGGAGCUGAGACGCGGUCCUGAGUCCGACGGAAGGCAGCAGUAGGGAAUGUACCGAGAAGGGCGAAAGCCUGACGGAGCAACGGCGGGUGGAUGAUGAAGGUCUGCGGAUCGGAAGACUCUGUUAUUGUGGAAGAACAUAUUUGCAAGUAACUGUGCUCAGCGUGACGGUACCGAAUCAGAAAGCCACGGCUAACUACGUG